AGAGUUUGAUCCUGGCUCAGAACUAACGCUGGCGGCGUGCCUAACACAUGCAAGUCGAACGGUUUCAGGUGAAUAGGAGAGGUUCGCCUUUUUUAUUUUCUGGAAUAGUGGCGCACGGGUGAGUAAUACGUAGAUAACCUGUCCUUAGGACCGGCAUAACCUUUCGAAAGAGGGGCUAAUACGGGAUAAAACUGCGAUACGGCAUCGUAUCGUAGUAAAAGGAGAAGCUUAAGUUUCUUGCUAUCGCUUAAGGAGGGGCUUACGUCCUAUUAGCUAGUUGGUAGGGUAAAGGCCUACCAAGGCAACGAUGGGUAGGGGCGCUGAGAGGCGAAACCCCCACACUGGAAUUGAGAUACGGUCCAGACUCCUACGGGAGGCAGCAGUGGGGAAUUUUCCACAAUGCCCGAAAGGGUGAUGGAGCAACGCCGCGUGGGUGAUUAAGGCCUUCGGGUUGUAAAACCCUGCCAGGUAAGACGAAGGGUCUAUUUAUUAAUAGGCAAUAGACUUGACGGUACUACCAAAGGAAGCCUCGGCUAACUCUGUGCCAGCAGCCGCGGUAAGACAGAGGAGGCAAGCGUUGUUCGGAAUUACUGGGCGUAAAGAGCGCGUAGGCGGCUAGGUAAGUUAGAUGUGAAAUCUCCUUUUGAAACGAGGAAACUGCAUUUAAAACUACCUGACUUGAGUUUAGGAGAGGAAAGUGGAAUUCCCAGUGUAGCGGUGAAAUGCGUAGAUAUUGGGAGGAACACCAGUGGCGAAGGCGACUUUCUGGCCUAAAACUGACGCUGAGACGCGAAAGCUAGGGGAGCAAACAGGAUUAGAUACCCUGGUAGUCCUAGCCCUAAACGAUGGACACUAGGUGUAUUCCCUUUUUAGGGAGUGUGCCGUAGCUAACGCAUUAAGUGUCCCGCCUGGGGAGUACGACCGCAAGGU
RNAcentral lists this ribosomal RNA (930 nucleotides) under uncultured bacterium. Its description in RNAcentral is "bacterial SSU rRNA". It matches the Rfam family "Bacterial small subunit ribosomal RNA", at positions 8 to 894 of the family's 1533-position model. The record is from RNAcentral.